AGCAGGUUAGGCUGGACUAGGAGUCAAAGAGGAUUCUGGGAAAUGUAGUAGAGAAAUGGUGUUCCAGACAGGAAGUGACAUAGCAAGGAGACUCAUAUUUAAGAAGAGGAAAAAGGAAGUGUCGCUCUCUUUCCCCUCGGCUCCUGCUCCAGCGGCACGAUGUGAUCCACCAGCUAGGAGGGACGCCAAUAAGGCGUCUGAUAAGAUAAAAAAUCAGAAGCUGUGGAUUCCUUCCAGACUAAUAUGGUUUGAUCAAGCAAGACCCCCUGAAGCUGAGAUGAUACAGCCUUACAGACUAUAAAAACAAGGACUUGGUCAGGUUUCUAUGUUUUAUCAUGAUCCUAAUGGUAUAUGAACAUCGCCCCCAAUCAGCAGGAAGCAGUUUAGAAAGAACGACGCCCAUAUUCCCAAGUAUUGUUUAUAAAUGUUUUUUUCAUUUAAAUGAGACAGAAAAGAAGAGAUGAUGGGGGAAAUAUUUCUGUGUAUGUUUAUAAAUAAAGUACUUGCUUGGCCAAUGUAACAGCAGGUUAGGCUGGACUAGGAGUCAAAGAGGAUUCUGGGAAAUGUAGUAGAGAAAUGGUGUUCCAGACAGGAAGUGACAUAGCAAGGAGACUCAUAUUUAAGAAGAGGAAAAAGGAAGUGUCGCUCUCUUUCCCCUCGGCUCCUGCUCCAGCGGCACGAUGUGAUCCACCAGCUAGGAGGGACGCCAAUAAGGCGUCUGAUAAGAUAAGUCUUAUAAAAUAUAUAGAUGUAUGAUAAUUGAUACUGAGCUAACAGAUGAGAAUCCUAGUCAUUGGCCAAGCAGCAUUGUACCUAAUACAAGUCUCUCUGUGUAUUCAUUUGGGCCUAACUUGGGCAGGUGGCUGGCGUAAAGCUUACACGUGGCAAUGGG
Molecule: long non-coding RNA, 892 nt
Filed under: Cricetulus griseus (Chinese hamster)
Lineage: Eukaryota; Metazoa; Chordata; Mammalia; Rodentia; Cricetidae
Description: lncRNA (ENSCGRG00015041483.1)
Source: RNAcentral